This is a long non-coding RNA of Xyrauchen texanus (razorback sucker), 1180 nucleotides long. RefSeq lists it as uncharacterized. The record is from RefSeq and is a predicted model, not a curated record. NCBI's taxonomy places the organism in Eukaryota, Metazoa, Chordata, Actinopteri, Cypriniformes, Catostomidae. The transcript is spliced from 5 exons.
AAAAUGAGCUUAAACCACUGAUCUAUAUAUAUAACUGGAUAGCUCAUGACGUCACAACAGUGAAGCUACUGCGCCGCCAUCUUGGUAUUCCCUAACAUUCUGUACUCCUAUGUGUCUCAAUGGGAAAUCGUCUGUUUUGCAGCAUUACGUUCAGCGGCGCACGUGCGCACGUGUUUCAAUAGAAACAAGUUUAAGAAACUGAGUGCAGGCCUGAAUACGGACCAGCUCACGGGCAUCAUUUAUAAAGUGAUCAAUUGGAAUAGACGAGGAGCAGGGCAGGACUGGUAAUCUGGACUACCGGACAUUUUUCCGGUGGACCGACAAACUUUGGGGCCGAUCAGGGUGGACUGGCCAUCGGGAGAACCGAGCGGGUCGCUGUGUCGUCCGCGAUAAUCUAAAACGAGCCGCCGCGUUAGCGAACACUACCCCCCCAACAACAACUUUUUGGCAGUUAUGUCAAAUCCCGGGCCGAUUUCUCUUUCCAGUCCAGCCCUGAAAAGGUGCACAUGGAUAUUGUUGAAGUUAAACAAGUACAUGCUUGCCCAGAGUUUUCUUAAGCCGUUUGGAGUGUGAUGCAGCACAUGUUUCCUUGGCAAUGAAGUGGAGGCUGAUGUUUGUGCAGCUUUCUGCAAUGCACUGAGUAUGAAGAUGUGAUUGUUGUAUGGUUCUAGGUUGAACAUGUUUGCCUCAAGUUCCUUGAAUGCAGAGCCACUAUGAAGAUCCAGAACAUUUGUGGGGACAGAGAUGGGCCUUGUGAGUGUGUGCUGUUGAAGAAAUCUCUCAGCUGUCUUGCAGACUUGCAGGACGCUGUCUGACGGUCUUAUAAAUCCACCUCAGGACUUCAUGUCGAUUAGUGUGUUCAUCUUGGGAAGAGCUCUCGACACUGAGUGCUGAUAAACAGGCUGAACGUCACUGCCUGAAAUGCAUAUCAGAAGAUGCUGCCUCCAGUGUCACUGUGAUAUCCGGUGGAGAACUGUUGCCACUAGCUCUGAUGGCACGUCUUGCUACCAUUCUUUUGAAAGCUGAAUAAUGUGGGAUUGUUGUUAAAUCCAUUAGCAGAUUUGUUCCCACAUAUCUGCAAAUUGUUAUUGUAUUGUUCAGUUUAAGUCAAUUUUUUUUAUGUACUUGGAAGCUUUUGUUAUUGAACAAAUAAAUAUGUAUGAUUUCCUUGAGUGUGCAU